UUAUUGGAGAGUUUGAUCCUGGCUCAGGACGAACGCUGGCGGCGUGCCUAAUACAUGCAAGUCGAGCGAGUCUGCCUUGAAGAUCGGAGUGCUUGCACUCUGUGAAACAAGAUACAGGCUAGCGGCGGACGGGUGAGUAACACGUGGGUAACCUGCCCAAGAGAUCGGGAUAACACCUGGAAACAGAUGCUAAUACCGGAUAACAACAGAUGAUGCCUAUCAACUGUUUAAAAGAUGGUUCUGCUAUCACUCUUGGAUGGACCUGCGGUGCAUUAGCUAGUUGGUAGGGUAACGGCCUACCAAGGCGAUGAUGCAUAGCCGAGUUGAGAGACUGAUCGGCCACAUUGGGACUGAGACACGGCCCAAACUCCUACGGGAGGCAGCAGUAGGGAAUCUUCCACAAUGGACGCAAGUCUGAUGGAGCAACGCCGCGUGAGUGAAGAAGGGUUUCGGCUCGUAAAGCUCUGUUGUUGGUGAAGAAGGACAGGGGUAGUAACUGACCUUUGUUUGACGGUAAUCAAUUAGAAAGUCACGGCUAACUACGUGCCAGCAGCCGCGGUAAUACGUAGGUGGCAAGCGUUGUCCGGAUUUAUUGGGCGUAAAGCGAGUGCAGGCGGCUCGAUAAGUCUGAUGUGAAAGCCUUCGGCUCAACCGGAGAAUUGCAUCAGAAACUGUCGAGCUUGAGUACAGAAGAGGAGAGUGGAACUCCAUGUGUAGCGGUGAAAUGCGUAGAUAUAUGGAAGAACACCGGUGGCGAAGGCGGCUCUCUGGUCUGUUACUGACGCUGAGGCUCGAAAGCAUGGGUAGCGAACAGGAUUAGAUACCCUGGUAGUCCAUGCCGUAAACGAUGAGUGCUAAGUGUUGGGAGGUUUCCGCCUCUCAGUGCUGCAGCUAACGCAUUAAGCACUCCGCCUGGGGAGUACGACCGCAAGGUUGAAACUCAAAGGAAUUGACGGGGGCCCGCACAAGCGGUGGAGCAUGUGGUUUAAUUGGAUUAAAC
This 1000-nucleotide ribosomal RNA is filed under the name Vibrio cholerae. RNAcentral's name for it is "bacterial SSU rRNA". It matches the Rfam family "Bacterial small subunit ribosomal RNA", at positions 1 to 960 of the family's 1533-position model. The record is from RNAcentral. Lineage: Bacteria; Pseudomonadati; Pseudomonadota; Gammaproteobacteria; Vibrionales; Vibrionaceae.